Molecule: ribosomal RNA, 491 nt
Filed under: uncultured bacterium
Lineage: Bacteria
Description: partial 16S ribosomal RNA
Rfam family: Bacterial small subunit ribosomal RNA
Source: RNAcentral
GUGAACGCUGGCGGUAGGCCUAACACAUGCAAGUCGAACGGCAGCACAGUAAGAGCUUGCUCUUACGGGUGGCGAGUGGCGGACGGGUGAGGAAUACAUCGGAAUCUACUUUUUCGUGGGGGAUAACGUAGGGAAACUUACGCUAAUACCGCAUACGACCUACGGGUGAAAGCAGGGGAUCUUCGGACCUUGCGCGAUUGAAUGAGCCGAUGUCGGAUUAGCUAGUUGGCGGGGUAAAGGCCCACCAAGGCGACGAUCCGUAGCUGGUCUGAGAGGAUGAUCAGCCACACUGGAACUGAGACACGGUCCAGACUCCUACGGGAGGCAGCAGUGGGGAAUAUUGGACAAUGGGCGCAAGCCUGAUCCAGCCAUACCGCGUGGGUGAAGAAGGCCUUCGGGUUAUAAAGCCCUUUUGUUGGGAAAGAAAAGCAGCAGGUUAAUACCCCGCUGUUCUGACGGUACCCAAAGAAUAAGCACCGGCUAACUUCGUG